CAAUAGCGUAUAUUAGCGUUGUUGCAGUUAAAAAGCUCGUAGUUGGAUUUCUGGAGGGAGCGUCGGCCCGUAUUUACGAGUGCGUGACGUCUCUGUCCAUCCUUGCGGGAAGGCACGGCAUUGAUUUGUUGUGUCGGAUCGCAUCAUUUACUGUGAAAAAAUUAGAGUGUUCAAAGCAGGCUUUCGCUUGAAUACAUUAGCAUGGAAUAAUAAGAUAGGACUUUGGUGCUAUUUUGUUGGUUGAGCCUAAAGUAAUGAUUAAUAGGGAUAGUUGGGGGCACCUGUAUUGCGUUGUCAGAGGUGAAAUUCUUGGAUUUACGCAAGACAAACAGCUGCGAAAGCGUCUGCCAAGGAUGUUUUCAUUAA
This 366-nucleotide ribosomal RNA is filed under the name uncultured eukaryote. RNAcentral describes it as "partial 18S ribosomal RNA". It matches the Rfam family "Eukaryotic small subunit ribosomal RNA", at positions 592 to 976 of the family's 1831-position model. The record is from RNAcentral.